RNAcentral lists this long non-coding RNA (2581 nucleotides) under Homo sapiens (human). Its description in RNAcentral is "HSALNT0053876". The record is from RNAcentral. Lineage: Eukaryota; Metazoa; Chordata; Mammalia; Primates; Hominidae.
AAAUGCAUUAAUCUGGGUGCAGUGGCUGAUGCCUAUAAUGCCAACACUUUGGGAGGCCAAGAUGGAAGGAUUGGUUGAGCCCAGGAGUUUGCCACCAGCCUGGACAACAUAGCAAGACCUUGUCUCUACAAAAAACUUUUUAAAAAAUUAGCCAGGGAGGGUGUUGCAUGCCUGUGGUCCCAGCUACUUGGGAGGCUGGAGUGGGAGGAUAGCUUAAGCCCAGGAGUUUGAGGCUGCAGUGAACCAUGACUGCCCUGCUGUACUCCAGCCUGGGCUACAGUGAGGCCCAGUCUCAAAAAAAAAAGAAAAGAAAAGAAAAAUGAAAAAGAAAAUCCAUGAAUACAUUUGUAAGAAGGUGGAGAUAAUCAAAUACAAGGACAAAUUGAUGAUGCAGGAAAGGGAGGAAGUAACUGGAGGAGAGAAGUCUGCGAAAAGGUCUUCAUAUGGCUCCUCAUGAGGAACAUUCCACAAAAUAACUGACCAGCACUCUUCAGAAGUGGCAAGGUCAGAAGAGACAAGGCGAGACUGAGGAGCUGUCCCAGGCUAAAGGAGGCUAAGGACACAGGACAACUAAAUGCAAUGUGGAGUCCUGGAUAGGAUCCUGAACUAGUAAAAGUACAUAGGUGGAAAAACUAAGACUGUAUCAAUUAGAGUUCUCGAUUGUAAGCAACACAAACCAACUUUGGUUAAACAAGAUUUAUUGGAAAAGCAUCAGCGUGCAAAGGAGGAGCCUGGAGUUGAACUAAGGCAGACCGGCUCCAGAGACCCAGCUCCUAACUGUUAUAUUUUACUUCCUUUUGACAAAUAAAUAAGCAUUUAUUGAGGCUUUCUGUGUUCCAGGCCCCGGAGAUACAAAAUUGAACAAAGACUUGGUUACUGAACUCAAUUACUCCGGACAAUGCUGGUAUUCCCAGUCCUGAAUGAAUGCCAUGCUCCAGGCAGGUGCUUAAUAAAUGGCAAUUGAAGGAAUCCAUCAACCAUUGUGGUAACUAGCAUCCAAGAUGAUCUCCACUUCCAUUGAGUAGUCCUUCUCUAUACUGAAUAGCAUCCUGCUGGACUAAUAUAAGAGGGUGGAAGUGAUGGUAUAUGAUUACUGAGGCUAUGUCAAUCUCCUUUUCAAGGGUCACCUGCUCUGGGGCAGCUAGCUACCAUGUCACAAGGACACUCAAGCAGUUCAGUUUUACAUGGUGAGAAGUUGUGGCUUCCUGCUAACUGCCAUGUGAGGGAGCCUUUUUGGGAGCAGAUCCUUGAGUCCCAGUCAAGCCUUCAGAUGGCUACAGCUCUGGCUGGCACCUUGAUUCAACAUUGUGCAGAACCCUGAGUCAGAACCACCUAGCUAAAGUGUUCUUCAAUUCUGGACCCACCAAAACCAUGGGAGAUAAUAUUUAUGAUUGUUUUUGGUAGCUAAGUUUUAGGGUAAUUUUUUGUGCUGCAAUACAUUAAUGAUACACCCAUUUGAUGAAUAACUGUCAAACCACCUCUUACCUUCCUGUGUCCUGGGCUUCCUAUUAUAGCAUUGUCAUGACAAUAUUUGAUCGUUUACAUGCCUGUGUCCACCAGAUGGCCUGAGGACAGGGAUGGUCCUUUAUUUCUGGGUCUCCAGUGCCUGGUGCCGUACUUGACAUACAGCGGGUACUCAAUAAAUACUUGUUGAAUGGAUGAGAAGUGGAGAAGGCAGUCCUAAUCCUGUCUUUAUCCAGGGUUCUCUAACAAUCCUACUAAAUAUUGUCACUGGGGAGAAGGAAAAGGGAUAGAUUUUCUUUAGAACCCUGAAAUCAGUAAGUUUUUUUUCAUUCCUUGACUUCCAAUCAUCAACCUGUUCCAAAGAUGUCUGUGUUCCAAAGAUAGCUGAAAUAGAAGCAGAAAUGUUUAGCACUGAGAUUAAUGUCCUCCCACUCCCCACAUGGGUUGAGGAAAGGCAAUUCCUUACAUGCUACAAAGGUAUAAAAUGACCCUUCAUAGGUCAUUUCAGCGGGCUGACUUGUCACUGGUUUGUAAAUGACACAAUGUGUAGAAACUAGUUAUAUUCAAAAUGUGCCUCUUUCCAUCUACUUAGAAAAUUAACAAGCAACCAUUAAAACUUAUGAGAAAUAUUGAUCAAUAUGGAAAAUAUAUAAUGUUCAGUGAAAAAGCCAGUAAUAAAAUUACAUGUGCAUCACAAAGACUGUAUUGAACACCUCUUCAGGUCCUCUUGGCCCCACCUAUCUCUUAGUCUAGCCACUGCUGGAGUAACCAGUUGUGGGUCAAUUCCAGUCAGCUUCUCACCGGUGCACCCUGAUAAAUGCCCCAUUUCUCUAGCCUCUCACCUUGGGGCUUCUCUGUUGACAUCAUUGCCUGGACUUAGAGGAAAUCCACUCAGCACUGAUGCAAGGGCAGUCCAGAAGUGUGGCGGAGUCAACACCCCAUGGGGAAAGCCUUUGACAAAUGGGGGCUGGGAAGCCAUGGAAAAAUGCUUCCUUCUUUCUUUCCUCGCUCAUUGAUGUGGCUCCUCAGAUGGUUCUGAGUUGUACUCAGCUGUGGCCAGUUCCAUCAUUCAGCCUUGUCUGCUUUGCUCCCUCACCGUUUGCUUUUGCUCCCUGGA